GAUGAACGCUGGCGGCGUGCCUAAUACAUGCCAGUCGAGCGAACAGACGAGGAGCUUGCUCCUCUGACGUUAGCGGCGGACGGGUGAGUAACACGUGGAUAACCUACCUAUAAGACUGGGAUAACUUCGGGAAACCGGAGCUAAUACCGGAUAAUAUAUUGAACCGCAUGGUUCAAUAGUGAAAGACGGUUUUGCUGUCACUUAUAGAUGGAUCCGCGCCGCAUUAGCUAGUUGGUAAGGUAACGGCUUACCAAGGCGACGAUGCGUAGCCGACCUGAGAGGGUGAUCGGCCACACUGGAACUGAGACACGGUCCAGACUCCUACGGGAGGCAGCAGUAGGGAAUCCUCCGCAAUGGGCGAAAGCCUGACGGAGCAACGCCGCGUGAGUGAUGAAGGUCUUCGGAUCGUAAAACUCUGUAAUUAGGGAAGAACAAAUGUGUAAGUAACUAUGCACGUCUUGACGGUACCUAAUCAGAAAGCCACGGCUAACUACGUG
RNAcentral lists this ribosomal RNA (497 nucleotides) under uncultured bacterium. RNAcentral's name for it is "partial 16S ribosomal RNA". It matches the Rfam family "Bacterial small subunit ribosomal RNA", at positions 28 to 507 of the family's 1533-position model. The record is from RNAcentral.